Macrobrachium nipponense is the source of this 323-nucleotide long non-coding RNA. RefSeq lists it as uncharacterized. The transcript has 2 exons. Lineage: Eukaryota; Metazoa; Arthropoda; Malacostraca; Decapoda; Palaemonidae. The record is from RefSeq and is a predicted model, not a curated record.
UCCGGAGCGGAGUGGCACCAGACCUUUGAGAUUUUCUGACAUUAUUUUUUACCCUGGAGUUUUCAAGUGUCAUGGAGCGAUAAACUCCACCUAGGCCGAGCGAUAGGAUUUCAUGUUCGGAGAGAGGCAACACGAGUAACUGGACUUAUCAUCUUACCACGAAAGACCAGGAUCUAAAGAAACGUCCUUUACAUAUGGUAGAUGAGUUACUGUGGAGAGGAAGUGGUGCAUACAUCCGAAGACAGCUCUUUGGGUGAUUUCCUCUCAAGACGAGAAACGGCAGUUCAACAUUUAUAAUUUCACUUAAUAAACUCAAUAGUUUU